This 846-nucleotide long non-coding RNA is filed under the name Gossypium barbadense (sea-island cotton). Its description in RNAcentral is "long non-coding RNA (GBAR_LNC023301)". The record is from RNAcentral. Lineage: Eukaryota; Viridiplantae; Streptophyta; Magnoliopsida; Malvales; Malvaceae.
CAGCAAUAGCUUUAAAAACUGUUUCAUCUUCUUCCCAACUCUUCACGCCAAAACCCCCUCCCCUUUUAACUUCGAUUUGGACAAAGCGAAGAAAACUAUGCUGACGGCGCGCCUCUGCUGGUAAGAAUCUCCUCCCUUUCUUUUACUUUUCGUUUUAUUUUAAAAAAAAUGAAGUAAAAUACAAAAGAAAAAGAUGAGACAAAAAAACAGAAAAAAGUAAAAAGACGUGGAAAGAACAAAAAUCACCUUCCAAAAUUUGUUUUUUUUCUAAUUCUUUUCUUUCGUAUUUCAGUAUUUUUCAAUAUAUGUGUGUAACCCCCCCCUUCUUACAAAAAUCGAUUGACUUUUAUAGCCAAUAUUUACCGGAAAGCACCAACUAAAAUUUCCCCCCUUUUUUUUGCUGUAUAUUCGAUCCCAUAAUGCUGUUUAUGGUUUGUUGCAGGUGAAGAAUGUGCAUGGUGGGUGUGGGGAAUUGCUGAACGUGGGUGGAAACCGUUGCCGUGUCGUGGGCAGUUGCUGCGGCACCGAUUUGCUUCAAUCUGCUUAGGCUGUGUUCUUUUGGGCUAACAGGCUAGGGCUAGCAAUUUGGGCCUUAUUAGGCCGAAUUUGGGCUGUAAUAUGGACUCCCACUUAGUUUUAUUUCAAAUUGGGUUUUAAUGGGCCGGACAAAAUUGGGUAUUACAAACAUAUUAUAUAAAAUACAUUGUGAAUUAAAGCAUAAUAUGAACGUGAUAUCAAAAUAUUAAUUUUUUUAAAAAAAUUUGAUGAUACGAAUAAUUAUGUAAAAUAUAACAUGAUACAAAAUAACUUGAGAGGAAAAGAGGAAUAAAGAAUUGCAUUGUUUGU